RNAcentral lists this unclassified non-coding RNA (630 nucleotides) under Hevea brasiliensis (rubber tree). The record is from RNAcentral. Lineage: Eukaryota; Viridiplantae; Streptophyta; Magnoliopsida; Malpighiales; Euphorbiaceae.
UGGGUCAGUUUGCAAGAGAGCUUCGACAAAAUCAAUAAACAGCUUGAGAAAGUCAUGCGGUUGACAGAAUCUGACAAGGUCCCUAAUCUUUACAUCAAAGCUCUUGUGAUGUUGGAGGAUUUCUUGAAUCAGGCUUUGGCAAAUAAGGAAGCAAAGAAGAAGAUGAGCAGUAGUAAUGCUAAGGCCUUGAACUCGAUGAAACAAAAACUGAAGAAGAACAAUAAGCAGUAUGAGGAUUUGAUUAAUAAGUAUAGGGAGAAUCCGGAGAGUGAGGAGGAACUAGAGGGAGAUGAGGAGACAGAAGAAGAUGAGGAUCGCCAGGAUAAUAGAACUGAGAUUGAAGGUGAUUGGCAGAAGAUGAUGAGCAAGAGAGAUAAACUCAUGGAUAGACAGUUUAUGAAAGAUCCUAGUGAAAUCACCUGGGAUACAGUGAACAAAAAGUUUAAGGAGGUUGUUGCUGCUCGAGGUAGGAAGGGAACUGGAAGGUUUGAGCAGGUUGAGCAACUAACCUUCCUGACCAAGGUUGCUAAGACCCCUGCACAGAAGCUUGAGAUUCUUUUUAGCGUGGUCUCUGCUCAGUUUGAUGUGAACCCAGGACUUAGUGGUCAUAUGCCUAUAAAUGUAUGGAAG